Molecule: non-coding RNA, 120 nt
Organism: Sarcophilus harrisii (Tasmanian devil)
Lineage: Eukaryota; Metazoa; Chordata; Mammalia; Dasyuromorphia; Dasyuridae
Source: Rfam
AUCAUUGGAAUGUAGAUGUUUUAAACAAAGGUGUAGAAAUAAACGAAUUGUUUGUGAUUUAGCUAUGGAUCUAGAGACACAUGGAGCUUUCUUUUUGUCUUUGUUUUUAAAGGAACUCCA